Molecule: ribosomal RNA, 896 nt
Filed under: Wolbachia endosymbiont of Pteromalus puparum
Lineage: Bacteria; Pseudomonadati; Pseudomonadota; Alphaproteobacteria; Rickettsiales; Anaplasmataceae
Description: bacterial SSU rRNA
Rfam family: Bacterial small subunit ribosomal RNA
Source: RNAcentral
UUGUAGCCUGCUAUGGUAUAACUUAGUGGCAGACGGGUGAGUAAUGUAUAGGAAUCUACCUAGUAGUACGGAAUAAUUGUUGGAAACGACAACUAAUACCGUAUACGCCCUACGGGGGAAAAAUUUAUUGCUAUUAGAUGAGCCUAUAUUAGAUUAGCUAGUUGGUGGAGUAAUAGCCUACCAAGGCAAUGAUCUAUAGCUGAUCUGAGAGGAUGAUCAGCCACACUGGAACUGAGAUACGGUCCAGACUCCUACGGGAGGCAGCAGUGGGGAAUAUUGGACAAUGGGCGAAAGCCUGAUCCAGCCAUGCCGCAUGAGUGAAGAAGGCCUUUGGGUUGUAAAGCUCUUUUAGUGAGGAAGAUAAUGACGGUACUCACAGAAGAAGUCCUGGCUAACUCCGUGCCAGCAGCCGCGGUAAUACGGAGAGGGCUAGCGUUAUUCGGAAUUAUUGGGCGUAAAGGGCGCGUAGGCUGGUUAAUAAGUUAAAAGUGAAAUCCCGAGGCUUAACCUUGGAAUUGCUUUUAAAACUAUUAAUCUAGAGAUUGAAAGAGGAUAGAGGAAUUCCUGAUGUAGAGGUAAAAUUCGUAAAUAUUAGGAGGAACACCAGUGGCGAAGGCGUCUAUCUGGUUUAAAUCUGACGCUGAAGCGCGAAGGCGUGGGGAGCAAACAGGAUUAGAUACCCUGGUAGUCCACGCUGUAAACGAUGAAUGUUAAAUAUGGGAAGUUUACUUUCUGUAUUACAGCUAACGCGUUAAACAUUCCGCCUGGGGACUACGGUCGCAAGAUUAAAACUCAAAGGAAUUGACGGGGACCCGCACAAGCGGUGGAGCAUGUGGUUUAAUUCGAUGCAACGCGAAAAACCUUACCACUUCUUGACAUGAAAAUCAUACCUAUUC